RNAcentral lists this ribosomal RNA (484 nucleotides) under uncultured bacterium. Its description in RNAcentral is "partial 16S ribosomal RNA". It matches the Rfam family "Bacterial small subunit ribosomal RNA", at positions 29 to 507 of the family's 1533-position model. The record is from RNAcentral.
AUUGAACGCUGGCGGCAUGCUUUACACAUGCAAGUCGAACGGCAGCGCGGGCUUCGGCCUGGCGGCGAGUGGCGAACGGGUGAGUAAUGCAUCGGAACGUGCCCAGUAGUGGGGGAUAGCACGGCGAAAGCCGGAUUAAUACCGCAUACGACCUGAGGGUGAAAGCGGGGGACCGAAAGGCCUCGCGCUAUUGGAGCGGCCGAUGUCGGAUUAGCUAGCUGGUGGGGUAAAGGCUUACCAAGGCGACGAUCCGUAGCUGGUCGGAGAGGACGACCAGCCACACUGGGACUGAGACACGGCCCAGACUCCUACGGGAGGCAGCAGUGGGGAAUUUUGGACAAUGGGGGCAACCCUGAUCCAGCCAGGCCGCGUGCGGGAAGAAGGCCUUCGGGUUGUAAACCGCUUUUGUUCGGGAAGAAAUCCUCUGGGCUAAUACCCCGGGGGGAUGACGGUACCGGAAGAAUAAGCACCGGCUAACUACGUG